RNAcentral lists this long non-coding RNA (3977 nucleotides) under Xyrichtys novacula (pearly razorfish). The record is from RNAcentral. Lineage: Eukaryota; Metazoa; Chordata; Actinopteri; Labriformes; Labridae.
UUACCGUAGAAAUAUCGAAAUAAAGAUGAAACAGAACAUUACUGAUGAUGCAUGCAUUGUAGAUUUUUGUGCACUGAAGAACAUUACAAUGCUUUUGCCUUCUGUUAAAUCAUGAAAGCAUGAAUCUCUUUCAUUUCAAGUAUGGAUUCCCUUAGAGAUGUUACAGCAUAAUGUGGCAUUUAAAAUGUCAGAUGAGACUGCAAUUUCCAGUGAUCAAAGUGGUGAUUGAAUGCACAAUGAGGAGAUAAACAUUAGGAGAAAACCCAGACAGUAGAAGUUUCUUUUCUGGGAAUAGUUCCACUAUGUCUUUGCAGAUCCAUAUAGCACUAUAUUUUGAGUUGUUUGUCUUAACUUUCUUGACAGACUUGUAAAUAUCCUCAUUCUCACCCAUCAGCAGCUGCAACACAACAUCGUCCUGGAUAUGAACCAGAUAAGUCAUCAGUCAUUCUUUACAGUUUCAAAGAGUGGGUGGGUGGGGAGGGUAGUAUCUAAGUAUGUCUGGAGUUACUUUCAGCAGAAACUUUUUGAUAUUUAUUUUUCUGUUUCUCCUAAUCCUGUUUUGCUAAUAAGAAUUUGAACAAAGUGAUGCCAUCAAAGCUCCCUUCCAAACAAACUCCAGCCAAGCAAACAACCCUUUCGCUGGUGACGUGAGUUGAAUUCAACAAAGCUGUGAAACAAUCUUUGUUCAAUGUGUAUUCUGUCUGCAGUAACAAGGCCUGGCUUGGCUGUUUGGUUCGAGACGAGAAUGCUCUGUUCCAAGUAAUGCAUAUGUGAUCUGACAGACUAUAUCUUUGUGCAGUGUAUUCCCUGCCCCUCUCAAUUCUCCUGCGAGAACAGUUUGCUUCAGCUCAGCAUUAUGGGGAAGCUCUGCGUGGGGUGGUGUUCUGUUCAGUUGUACAACUUUCUCUGAUUACUGUCAUGCUGAAAACCAGGUGGUAAUCCAAGGCCGAUUUUGUAGGACUCAAAAGCACCCAAAGGCUGUAUGAGAAAAGUACAUAGCCUCUGAUUCACAAAGGUCAGGUUAGUAGAGAGGUGCCAUAGACCUGCCAUCUUUCUUUCGGCCUGCAGGAGGCACCGUCACUGGUUGCAAAUGGCCAAAACUUUUAGUUAUUCAUUAUCCUAGUAAUAACAUCCUUCAAGGAGUAUUUUGCCGUCAGUGUAUUGUUCAUCUAUGAGAUAUUAAUUUUGAAGAGUUAAAUAGAGCUGUAGCUGAGAAGUGCCGGCCAUAUGCUGUGUCUAAGCUGUAGUACAGCCAUCUGUCAGUAGCAGGUGCUAUAAGGCUCCAGUGAUUGGCUGAUUCCAUUGCUCUGUUCUAUCUGGAUAUACUGUAUACUCGCACAGAUGUCAGAUGGCAUUUCAAAGCUUUGCACAGUUUGGCAGUAUUUUGAUCUAGUAAAUGGAGGUAAACUUGUAUAUAGGCUGUAUCCAGUUACUCAUUGCAGCAUACAAAGCAUAACAAGCACAGGCAUGUAGCCGAUGAUGCUAGCUCUGCUAAUGUAAGCCAAAUUUGGCUAACUGUUUUGACACAAGCGACACCUCUAAGCAUGAAAAAAUGAUGUGGAAAUGCUAUUUAUCAACAUUUUUUCAGUGUCCUCCUCAGACUGACUCUGGAAAUACCAGAAACCACACACACCCAUUCAAAAAAACUUAUCUUGACAGAAAAAAAAAAAAGAAAAAAAAAAAAAAAGGUUGGUUUCAAUAGCUUAUUUCUUUUUUAUUUUUUUAUUUUUUCAAAAAUUAGUUUAGAAGAAAUUAAGGUUAUAUGUUUGGCAAAUUAGAGACAUAGCUGCUUUGACUGGCAGGUGUGCACUUUAGCUGUUGGCAAUGAGGGUAAAUGUCACCCUAGCUCCACCUUUUUGACUCAUGGUAGGUUGACUGAAAGUUUGGCUGAGUCAGCAUUUACAGGACGCUGUUUGCUGUAAAAAAAACCUUCAACAGUUUUCACAAACCAGUGGGCGUCAGUGCUACAUCCAUGUUAUAUAAAGUCGAUGGUUUGACAUAGUUUACCAAAAGACAGAAAGCCUGUCUCAAGCCAUGUGAAAUCACGUUGACUCUUUCCAGGAUUUUGUCUUAUUAAAAUAGCAUAUCAUUAGGAAUCUGCAUUUCUGUAUCAGGAAUUGGAAGAUAAGUUCCUUGGAAGAGCUCUACUCUGUAGUAAACUAGUACUACUGUCACUAUGGAUAAAAUAUUCAACAUCUGACAAUAGGCUCAACGACAGCUUUCUGGCAAUGGAUAAGCCACAAAUUUAAAGCUCUAAGCUGCUUAUUUAUUAGAAGUUGGGUGUACAAGUAGAGAGUGACUGAUACGUAAGAAAUGAACCCAUUUGUAAAGUUUCUAGUCACUGAAGUGGCCUUUAAAACAGGGAAAAUGGAUCAAUAACAAUAAUGUCCACAGUGGAACCUUUGCAUGGAUACCAAUUGCUCCAGUCAUUUUAUGUCAUGAUGCCUUUGUGACACUAUUUGAGUUUUAUAAAAAAUAAAGGCAGAACCAGCAGAGAGGAAAAUAUUCAUAAUCUCUGUGGCAGUAUGGUAGUCUGAACAGAUAAUGGUUUUCCCAGGAACACAGCUACAGGUCUUGUCUUUUUAUUUGCAACAUUCAACAAUAAAGUUUCUAAGUUUAACUGAAAGAUCAAUACUUGUCAGCACAGAGGCUGGGAAUACUUCAGAAUCUAAUGAUUGAAUUUCUGAGGCAUUAAAAAUGUUCCAAAUCUGUUGCAGCUGAAAAACAAGAUGAGCAGGAGAGGAUGUUGAUUAAAAGUCUCUGACACGCUGAUUCGCACUUCACAGCUACUUGGUUCAAAAAUACUUGAGGUCUCAAGUCAUAAUAAUUAUGAAGUGUAAUGUUCAACCAGAUUAAAGUAGUGAUCUGGUAUUUCUAUCAUUUUAACUGAGAGGGUUUUGGUUCCGACUGACUUCAGAGGCCGUGUGAGGAGUUUUUAUGUGGUGCCGAUCUUACUGAUUACAUUCUGAUGAAACGGAUUGUCUUUCUUAGAGACCAGCACUACCUCUCCCAUGAGCACCAUCACCUAACUCAUGUAAUUCAAAGAUAAUGCUACUGUGCUCCCACCACACCAGUGGGUUCUGAUAUGGGUGCAAGUUCUCAAAAAAUGUUGACAACAUUGGCGCCAGACUUGACAAUGCAAACUGCCUCGGGUGGAAAAUAACAGAUAUACUUGCACUGGACUAGACUAGCACUGGGUGUAUGAUGUGAACCUUAGUCACAAAAAUAAGAUAGUAAACACAGCUGACAAUAUCUCUCAGCCGCCCCCUGCUGGCCACUUUUAUAGACUCAUAUCUUAAAAUCUGUUUUCUAUAAAGAGCAUUCACUGGUGGCAUCUUUGGACCUGUACAGUAAUCACAGCAGAUAACACUGUGUUCUGUGGAGAGCACCAGUUUCUGAACUAUUUUAACAUCAACUGUUAAAUAGUCAUUGCUACAUUUCACUCAAAACCACAUGUGUCACCUCAAGGAGGAGACUAAUCCAAAGUCAGGGGACCGUGUUUAACGUGUAAGAUACUGUAAAUUAAUCCAAAAGUUGUAGGUAGUCCAUGGUUAAUGAUGGGCCACUUGACCUAUAUUGGUUCACAGCACUCCUGUUAAAAAGAAAAUACACCAUGCAAAUAUGGGUGUUUUUUUGUCCAUUUUGCCAAACAGGAACAAGUUACCCAAUCCCAGUUAGCUUACAGGCACUCUAGGAGAUGCUCACAUACUGUCUAUUAUCACAUUUCUGGAAUGAUUGAGUUGUAUCUAACAUGUGCACAAUAAAAAUUUGAUCACUGGCAGCCACAUCAUCACACAUAUUUGUAAUAAUUCAGCUUUUUUUUCAGAGGUAACCAUGAGAAGUACUGCAACAGAGGCAUGAAUGCAUGAUGAAAAUGGCAAAUAAUGUUUGGUUCAGAUAGUUUAAAGACUGUUGUUUAUGUAAAAAUGUCUAUAUAUCUAUCGUAUAUGUUUAAUGAAAAUAUAAACAUAUUGAAC